GCAAGCCUAAACAUGCAAGUCGAACGGUAACUUUUGGUGCUUGCACCGAAAGACGAGUGGCGAACGGGUGCGUAACGCGUAUGCAAUCUGCCUUUUACUAGGGUAUAGCCCAGAGAAAUUUGGAUUAAUCCCCUAUAAUAUCAUUUAAUCGCAUGAUUUUAUGAUUAAAGCUUCGGCGGUAAAAGAUGAGCAUGCGUCCUAUUAGUUAGUAGGUGAGGUAACGGCUCACCUAGACUCCGAUAGGUAGGGGUCCUGAGAGGGAGAUCCCCCACACUGGUACUGAGACACGGACCAGACUCCUACGGGAGGCAGCAGUGAGGAAUAUUGGACAAUGGACGAAAGUCUGAUCCAGCUAUGCCGCGUGCAGGAUGACGGCCCUAUGGGUUGUAAACUGCUUUUAUACAGGAAGAAAAACUCCGACGUGUCGGAACUUGGCGGUACUGUAAGAAUAAGGAUCGGCUAACUCCGUGCCAGCAGCCGCGGUAAUACGGAGGAUCCAAGCGUNAUCCGGAAUCAUUGGGUUUAAAGGGUC
This 532-nucleotide ribosomal RNA is filed under the name uncultured bacterium. RNAcentral describes it as "bacterial SSU rRNA". It matches the Rfam family "Bacterial small subunit ribosomal RNA", at positions 42 to 569 of the family's 1533-position model. The record is from RNAcentral.